This 292-nucleotide ribosomal RNA is filed under the name uncultured bacterium. RNAcentral's name for it is "partial 16S ribosomal RNA". It matches the Rfam family "Bacterial small subunit ribosomal RNA", at positions 505 to 796 of the family's 1533-position model. The record is from RNAcentral.
GUGCCAGCCGCCGCGGUAAUACGUAGGUGGCAAGCGUUGUCCGGAUUUACUGGGCGUAAAGCGCGUGUAGGCGGCCCGUUUAGUCUGUCGUGAAAUCUCCCGGCUUAACCGGGAUGGGUCGACGGAUACUGGCGAGCUUGAGGGGAGCAGAGGAAGGUGGAAUUCCCGGUGUAGUGGUGAAAUGCGUAGAUAUCGGGAGGAACACCAGUGGCGAAGGCGGCCUUCUGGGCUCUACCUGACGCUGAGACGCGAAAGCGUGGGGAGCGAACCGGAUUAGAUACCCGGGUAGUCC